This 253-nucleotide ribosomal RNA is filed under the name uncultured bacterium. Its description in RNAcentral is "partial 16S ribosomal RNA". It matches the Rfam family "Bacterial small subunit ribosomal RNA", at positions 524 to 776 of the family's 1533-position model. The record is from RNAcentral.
UACGUAGGGCGCGAGCGUUGUCCGGAUUUAUUGGGCGUAAAGAGCUCGUAGGCGGCUUGUCGCGUCGUCCGUGAAAACCCACAGCUCAACUGCGGGCUUGCGGUCGAUACGGGCAGGCUAGAGUUCGGUAGGGGAGACUGGAAUUCCUGGUGUAGCGGUGAAAUGCGCAGAUAUCAGGAGGAACACCGGUGGCGAAGGCGGGUCUCUGGGCCGAUACUGACGCUGAGGAGCGAAAGCGUGGGGAGCGAACAGG